RNAcentral lists this ribosomal RNA (560 nucleotides) under uncultured Glomus. RNAcentral's name for it is "SSU rRNA". It matches the Rfam family "Eukaryotic small subunit ribosomal RNA", at positions 546 to 1106 of the family's 1831-position model. The record is from RNAcentral. Lineage: Eukaryota; Fungi; Glomeromycota; Glomeromycetes; Glomerales; Glomeraceae.
AAUUGGAGGGCAAGUCUGGUGCCAGCAGCCGCGGUAAUUCCAGCUCCAAUAGCGUAUAUUAAAGUUGUUGCAGUUAAAAAGCUCGUAGUUGAAUUUCGGGAUCAAUAUUUCGGUCAUGCCGUUGGUAUGCACUGUUAUCAUUGAUUUCUCACCUUCUAAAGAACCGUAAUGCCAUUAAUUUGGUGUUACGGGGAAUUAGGACUGUUACCUUGAAAAAAUUAGAGUGUUUAAAGCAGGCUCACGCUUGAAUACAUUAGCAUGGAAUAAUGAAAUAGGACAUCCGAUUCUAUUUUGUUGGUUUCUAGGAUCGAUGUAAUGAUUAAUAGGGAUAGUUGGGGGCAUUAGUAUUCAAUUGUCAGAGGUGAAAUUCUUGGAUUUAUUGAAGACUAACUACUGCGAAAGCAUUUGCCAAGGAUGUUUUCAUUAAUCAAGAACGAAAGUUAGGGGAUCGAAGACGAUCAGAUACCGUCGUAGUCUUAACCAUAAACUAUGCCGACUAGGGAUCGGAUGAUGUUAAUUUUUUAAUGACUCAUUCGGUGCCUUACGGGAAACCAAAGUGU